RNAcentral lists this long non-coding RNA (1212 nucleotides) under Phasianus colchicus (ring-necked pheasant). RNAcentral describes it as "lncRNA (ENSPCLG00000021048.1)". Lineage: Eukaryota; Metazoa; Chordata; Aves; Galliformes; Phasianidae. The record is from RNAcentral.
AAGAGGAGUUGGAAUGCUCUUGCCUGUCCACAUCUCUUGCCUUGCAAAUGAUUGAUAUCACUGUGGUUUCAUACAGUGAAAUAAUCACUUAUGGAGGAAAACAGUCUCUGUCUAAAGAAACACAGUCUGAACCCAUUGGGGUGUAAACAAUACUGUGUUUGUCAUCAAGUAUGACUGGGAAAAGGUCAAGUUUUGCCAAGAUUUACUGUAAACUCUUAGGGAGCAGGAUGGGUUUGGAUGUGCAGUUUGCAAGCUGGACGAGGCUUGGAAACUGAGUGGAAGCCACCCUGGUGGUGCGCAGGUGAGGUGCAGAAUGCUGAUGAAGGUUUUCUCUCGAUGAGAAACAUUUCUGUUGAAGCAAGAUUUUGAUCUCUUGAGGAAAGAAGUACAUCUUGUACUAAUUUCAAUUAACAGCUAAGUUACUGUUAGUUAAAGGCAGAAUAUAAUUACUGAAAGAUUUCCCUGUGGGAGAAGGGAAAGUUUUGCAAUGGAGAGACUUGAUGUUCUUCAAAGCUAUAUUACCUUUAUUGUGCUUUAUGUUUCUGCUUGCAUGAUGAAUAGUGACACUUAACUUUGCAGAUUUGUUCUCAUCAUGCAAAGCAAUAGCGACAGAACUAAAACCCUUUUCGUUAAUGCAGAAACUUCUCACAACCUGUUGCAGUAUGUAGAAGCACCUUCAUAGGACACUGCUAUAUAUUGCUGUCACUGGCUCGCUUUCUAAACAUUUGGAAGGUGAUUUCACCAUACCUCUCCUGAUCAAGCCUCCUCUGGCCAAGGGGCAUUGGCAGACUUGAAGACUACAACUUCCUUUUCACUUCAAAGGAGCCUUUCAGAAAGCAUUGACUACAUCUAACCAGAUGAAGGGAGAAGUGAGAGAACUCUCCACAUUGUUAUGAAUUCCCAGCAAGUCAGUGGAGACUCUGAAUUUGUGCCAAGGCCCAAGUUGUACUUGCAUUCAGUGAAGAGACCCAGAAGCACAGAUAGCUCGUGUAAUAAUCUUGUUUCUGAUAGUGAUUCAUGGCAUGUAUGUAGACGAGUCAUUUAGUCUCUUAAGAUUUGUGUUCACACAGAAUAAGGGAAAUAUGUUGUAUGUAUAUAUACAAAUACAUGUUUGGAUGAAAUGAUGCUGAGAGUUUUUGGUUCUUGGAUUUGUUGCUUUUAUGGAAGGAUAGGACUUGAAGUAUCUUUUGUGAUCUGGCUUAUAUUUAUCAG